UGUGUGUGUGUGUGUGUGUGUGUGUGUGUGUGUGUGUAUACACACACACACACACUCACACUCACACUCU
Non-coding RNA from Pelobates cultripes (western spadefoot toad), 70 nucleotides. Lineage: Eukaryota; Metazoa; Chordata; Amphibia; Anura; Pelobatidae. The record is from the annotation of a GenBank genome assembly.